This 207-nucleotide ribosomal RNA is filed under the name uncultured bacterium. RNAcentral describes it as "partial 16S ribosomal RNA". It matches the Rfam family "Bacterial small subunit ribosomal RNA", at positions 568 to 774 of the family's 1533-position model. The record is from RNAcentral.
UGCGCAGGCGGGAGGAUAGGUCGGAUGUGAAAACCCCGGGCUUAACCCGGGGCCUGCAUCCGAAACCAUUCUUCUUGAGUAUCGGAGAGGGAAGCGGAACUCCAGGUGUAGGGGUGAAAUCCGUAGAUAUCUGGGGGAACACCGGUGGCGAAGGCGGCUUCCUGGACGAAUACUGACGCUCAGGCACGAAGGCUAGGGGAGCAAACA